RNAcentral lists this ribosomal RNA (489 nucleotides) under uncultured bacterium. RNAcentral describes it as "partial 16S ribosomal RNA". It matches the Rfam family "Bacterial small subunit ribosomal RNA", at positions 30 to 506 of the family's 1533-position model. The record is from RNAcentral.
AUUGAACGCUGGCGGCAGGCCUAACACAUGCAAGUCGAACGGUAACAGGAAACAGCUUGCUGUUUCGCUGACGAGUGGCGGACGGGUGAGUAAUGUCUGGGAAACUGCCUGAUGGAGGGGGAUAACUACUGGAAACGGUAGCUAAUACCGCAUAGCGUCGCAAGACCAAAGAGGGGGACCUUCGGGCCUCUUGCCAUCGGAUGCGCCCAGAUGGGAUUAGCUAGUAGGUGGGGUAACGGCUCACCUAGGCGACGAUCCCUAGCUGGUCUGAGAGGAUGACCAGCCACACUGGAACUGAGACACGGUCCAGACUCCUACGGGAGGCAGCAGUGGGGAAUAUUGCACAAUGGGCGCAAGCCUGAUGCAGCCAUGCCGCGUGUAUGAAGAAGGCCUUCGGGUUGUAAAGUACUUUCAGCGGGGAGGAAGGGAGUAAAGUUAAUACCUUUACUCAUUGACGUUACCCGCAGAAGAAGCACCGGCUAACUCCGU